Molecule: ribosomal RNA, 582 nt
Filed under: uncultured bacterium
Lineage: Bacteria
Description: partial 16S ribosomal RNA
Rfam family: Bacterial small subunit ribosomal RNA
Source: RNAcentral
UGGGGAAUUUUGGACAAUGGGCGAAAGCCUGAUCCAGCAAUGCCGCGUGUGUGAAGAAGGCCUUCGGGUUGUAAAGCACUUUUGUCCGGAAAGAAAUCCUUGGCUCUAAUACAGUCGGGGGAUGACGGUACCGGAAGAAUAAGCACCGGCUAACUACGUGCCAGCAGCCGCGGUAAUACGUAGGGUGCAAGCGUUAAUCGGAAUUACUGGGCGUAAAGCGUGCGCAGGCGGUUUGCUAAGACCGAUGUGAAAUCCCCGGGCUCAACCUGGGAACUGCAUUGGUGACUGGCAGGCUAGAGUAUGGCAGAGGGGGGUAGAAUUCCACGUGUAGCAGUGAAAUGCGUAGAGAUGUGGAGGAAUACCGAUGGCGAAGGCAGCCCCCUGGGCCAAAUACUGACGCUCAUGCACGAAAAGCGUGGGGAGCAAAACAGGAUUAGAUACCCUGGUAGUCCACGCCCUAAAACGAUGUCAACUAGUUGUUGGGGAUUCAUUUCCUAGUAACGUAGCUAACGCGUGAAGUUGACCGCCUGGGGAGUACGGUCGCAAGAUUAAAACUCAAAGGAAUUGACGGGGUCAUAGCUG